UACGGAGGAUGCGAGCGUUAUCCGGAUUUAUUGGGUUUAAAAGGGUGCGUAGGCUGGUAAUUAAGUCAGUGGUGAAAUACUCCGGCUCAACCGGGGGGCUGCCGUUGAUACUGGUUACCUUGGAGUUUAGAUGAUGUGGGCGGAAUGUGUCAUGUAGCGGUGAAAUGCAUAGAGAUGACACAGAACACCGAUAGCGAAGGCAGCUCACAAAGCUAUUACUGACGCUGAUGCACGAAAGCGUGGGGAUCAAACAGGAUUA
This 259-nucleotide ribosomal RNA is filed under the name uncultured prokaryote. RNAcentral's name for it is "partial 16S ribosomal RNA". It matches the Rfam family "Bacterial small subunit ribosomal RNA", at positions 524 to 780 of the family's 1533-position model. The record is from RNAcentral.